RNAcentral lists this ribosomal RNA (211 nucleotides) under uncultured Enterobacterales bacterium. RNAcentral describes it as "partial 16S ribosomal RNA". It matches the Rfam family "Bacterial small subunit ribosomal RNA", at positions 121 to 334 of the family's 1533-position model. The record is from RNAcentral. Lineage: Bacteria; Pseudomonadati; Pseudomonadota; Gammaproteobacteria; Enterobacterales.
GGAAACUGCCUGAUGGAGGGGGAUAACUACUGGAAACGGUAGCUAAUACCGCAUAACGUCGCAAGACCAAAGAGGGGGACCUUCGGGCCUCUUGCCAUCAGAUGUGCCCAGAUGGGAUUAGCUAGUAGGUGGGGUAACGGCUCACCUAGGCGACGAUCCCUAGCUGGUCUGAGAGGAUGACCGGCCACACUGGAACUGAGACACGGUCCAG